This 460-nucleotide ribosomal RNA is filed under the name uncultured bacterium. RNAcentral's name for it is "partial 16S ribosomal RNA". It matches the Rfam family "Bacterial small subunit ribosomal RNA", at positions 338 to 795 of the family's 1533-position model. The record is from RNAcentral.
CCUACGGGUGGCAGCAGUGAGGAAUAUUGGUCAAUGGACGAGAGCCUGAACCAGCCAAGUAGCGUGAAGGAUGACUGCCCUAUGGGUUGUAAACUUCUUUUAUAAAGGAAUAAAACGAGGCACGUGUGCCUUUUUGCAUGUACUUUAUGAAUAAGGAUCGGCUAACUCCGUGCCAGCAGCCGCGGUAAUACGGAGGAUCCGAGCGUUAUCCGGAUUUAUUGGGUUUAAAGGGAGCGUAGAUGGGUUGUUAAGUCAGUUGUGAAAGUUUGCGGCUCAACCGUAAAAUUGCAAUUGAUACUGGCAGUCUUGAGUAGAGUAGAGGUAGGCGGAAUUCGUGGUGUAGCGGUGAAAUGCUUAGAUAUCACGAAGAACCCCGAUUGCGAAGGCAGCUUACUAGACUGCGACUGACACUGAUGCUCGAAAGUGUGGGGAUCAAACAGGAUUAGAUACCCGUGUAGUC